RNAcentral lists this ribosomal RNA (497 nucleotides) under uncultured bacterium. RNAcentral describes it as "partial 16S ribosomal RNA". It matches the Rfam family "Bacterial small subunit ribosomal RNA", at positions 28 to 507 of the family's 1533-position model. The record is from RNAcentral.
GAUGAACGCUGGCGGCGUGCCUAAUACAUGCAAGUCGAGCGAACAGACGAGGAGCUUGCUCCUCUGACGUUAGCGGCGGACGGGUGAGUAACACGUGGAUAACCUACCUAUAAGACUGGGAUAACUUCGGGAAAUCGGAGCUAAUACCGGAUAAUAUAUUGAACCGCAUGGUUCAAUAGUGAAAGACGGUUUUGCUGUCACUUAUAGAUGGAUCCGCGCCGCAUUAGCUAGUUGGUAAGGUAACGGCUUACCAAGGCGACGAUGCGUAGCCGACCUGAGAGGGUGAUCGGCCACACUGGAACUGAGACACGGUCCAGACUCCUACGGGAGGCAGCAGUAGGGAAUCUUCCGCAAUGGGCGAAAGCCUGACGGAGCAACGCCGCGUGAGUGAUGAAGGUCUUCGGAUCGUAAAACUCUGUUAUUAGGGAAGAACAAAUGUGUAAGUAACUAUGCACGUCUUGACGGUACCUAAUCAGAAAGCCACGGCUAACUACGUG